CACGCAGGCGGUCGUGUAAGUUUGAGGUUACAGCUCCCGGCUCAACUGGGAGAGCGCCUUGAAGACUGCAGGACUUGAGGGCCAGAGAGGGACACAGAAUUCCGGGUGUAGUGGUGAAAUGCGUAGAUAUCCGGAGGAAUACCAAAGGCGAAGGCAGUGUCCUGGCUGGUGACUGACGCUGAGGUGCGAAAGCUAGGGGAGCGAACGGGAUUAGAUACCCCGGUAGUCCUAGCCGUAAACGAUGACCACUAGGUGUGGGAGGUAUCGACCCCUUCCGUGCCGCAGCUAACGUGAUAAGUGGUCCGCCUGGGGAGUACGGUCGCAAGAUUAAA
Molecule: ribosomal RNA, 332 nt
Filed under: uncultured bacterium
Lineage: Bacteria
Description: bacterial SSU rRNA
Rfam family: Bacterial small subunit ribosomal RNA
Source: RNAcentral